AUGUACCUAUACAUUAUAUACGCACUUAUAGCGGCGCGUAGUACGCAGUGCGUUAUCGCGAAGAAAGCAAAAAUAGUUUACUUUUAACGGGCGAUAGCCAUAAUAAUAGUGUUACUAAAAACGUUAAAUGGCCCAUAAUUUAACGGUAUCGAAUUAAGCAAGUUAAGGAUAAAUACGGCCCGCGAACAGGCUGCUGCAGCGGCAGUGUAUAUAUAAGAUAAAAUAAUAAUAAUAUAAAGACGUUACGGUGUUUUUCUCCGAGCAAUUUAGGCCAAUACGCGGAGUUGGUGUAUGCGAGAGCACAUCAAAUGCCAUUAAAUACGGCGCGGCGAAGAACGGCGGACGGCGACGACGACGACGACGACGACGGGUUCCG
Molecule: non-coding RNA, 376 nt
Organism: Cinara cedri
Lineage: Eukaryota; Metazoa; Arthropoda; Insecta; Hemiptera; Aphididae
Source: the annotation of a GenBank genome assembly